GAUGAAGAACGCAGCGAAAUGCGAUAAGUAAUGCGAAUUGCAGAAUUCCAGUGAGUCAUCGAAUCUUUGAACGCACAUUGCGCCCUUUGGUAUUCCGAAGGGCAUGCCUGUUCGAGCGUCAUUAUCACCCCUCAAGCCCUCGGCUUGGUGUUGGGCGGUUUGGUGGAGGCCCCCUCGGGGGCUCCUGCCCCUCCCAAAGACAAUGACGGCGGCCUCGUUGGACCCCCGGUACACUGAGUUCUUCACGGGACACGUAUCGGACACAUGGGUUUACGGGACACGGUCUGCCUCCCCUCAGGGAGAAUCUUUCUAAGGUUGACCUCGGAUCAGGUAGGGAUACCCGCCGAACUUAAGCAUAUCAAUAAGCGGAGGA
This 373-nucleotide unclassified non-coding RNA is filed under the name soil metagenome. Its description in RNAcentral is "partial contains 5.8S ribosomal RNA, internal transcribed spacer 2, and large subunit ribosomal RNA". The stretch from base 1 to 121 matches the Rfam family "5.8S ribosomal RNA", at positions 35 to 154 of the family's 154-position model. The record is from RNAcentral.